GACGAACGCUGGCGGCGUGCUUAACACAUGCCAGUCGAACGGAAAGGCCCUGCUUUUGUGGGGUGCUCGAGUGGCGAACGGGUGAGUAGCACGUGAGUAACCUGCCCUUGACUUUGGGAUAACUUCAGGAAACUGGGGCUAAUACCGGAUAGGGGCUCCUGCUGCAUGGUGGGGGUUGGAAAGUUUCGGCGGUUGGGGAUGGACUCGCGGCUUAUCAGCUUGUUGGUGGGGUAGUGGCUUACCAAGGCUUUGACGGGUAGCCGGCCUGAGAGGGUGACCGGCCACAUUGGGACUGAGAUACGGCCCAGACUCCUACGGGAGGCAGCAGUGGGGAAUAUUGCACAAUGGGCGGAAGCCUGAUGCAGCAACGCCGCGUGCGGGAUGACGGCCUUCGGGUUGUAAACCGCUUUCGCCUGUGACGAAGCGUGAGUGACGGUAAUGGGUAAAGAAGCACCGGCUAACUACGUG
Molecule: ribosomal RNA, 468 nt
Filed under: uncultured bacterium
Lineage: Bacteria
Description: partial 16S ribosomal RNA
Rfam family: Bacterial small subunit ribosomal RNA
Source: RNAcentral